This is an RNA transcript of Lates calcarifer (barramundi perch), 3795 nucleotides long. It is a transcript of the gene named angiogenic factor with G patch and FHA domains 1, with no coding region annotated. The record is from RefSeq and is a predicted model, not a curated record. NCBI's taxonomy places the organism in Eukaryota, Metazoa, Chordata, Actinopteri, Centropomidae. The transcript has 20 exons.
AAGUCCGCCAAACCCGAAGAAGAACUACUUCCGCUGUGUGUACAUAGUAAAUGGCGGUCGUGAACAGGGUGGACUGUAAACAUUUCCACGGUUGGUUCAUGCACCGUGCUGACAGGAAAUUUACUGCCAAAGAGGAGAAAACGAAAUAAACGUUGAACUAAUGGAGAACGAAGAUGAAGAAAAGGACGUGGAGUCUGAAGUGGCGGAGCUGCGUCUGAAAGUAGACUCGCUGAAGCAGGAGCUCAGAGAGUGCAGAGCCGAGCUGACGAAGCUGCAGAAGCAGCUGAAGCAGUCAGAAAGACUGCAGAGGAACACAGAGAGCUACAAUGAAGACCUGAGGAAACAGGUUGAUCAGCUGAGCGCAGAGAUUCAUGAGCGGAAGAAGAAAGAUAAGGACAGAGUCAACAGUGAAACUCAGACAGAAGAAUAUGUAUGGACAGAAACUGAUUAUUACAACUACUACUAUGGAGGCUACUAUCAGAACCCUGAGGCAGCAGACACUCAGGAAGGCCUGAACGCAGCAGCAGCAGAAGAAGUAGCAGCAGUAGUGGAUGGAGCUGAUGGCAGCGAGACAGCAGAGGUUUCAACACCAACUGCAGCAGUAGCAGCAGUAGUUGCUGAUGAGUCAGGUCAACCUGACAGCAGUGUUACAGCCACAACAGAGGGAGGUGAUGCAGGAUCCAUAGCUGAUAUGUUGAGGGCCACUGCCGAAGAGGCUAUGACACAGACUGGGUUUGUGUUUGAUGAGACCACAGGAAUGUACUAUGACCACAGCACAGGCUUCUACUACGACUCGGCCAGUCAGUUGUACUAUGAUGCCAACACAGGCAUUUACUACUACUACGACGCGGAGAGCGGACGAUACCAGUUUCAUUCCAGGAUUGAGGUGUCUGCUGCACAGACUGGUGCAGAGCCUUGCUCAGACAAGAACACUACUGAAAAGAAAGGCAAGAAGUUCAAGAAAGGGGUCAAGAAAAUGUCACACCAGGAUGAUAAGGAGCUCAUAUCUGAUGACAAUAAGUUGGAGGAGGACGAAACUGACUGGGUCGAACAUCAAACGACUAAGAGGACCACAGAAUCACGAAAACUCAAGAAGAGGUCUUGUGGAGGAGAGGAGGAGAGCGACAAAUCUUCGUCAAAGAGGAAGAAACAGAAAAAUGGUUCACGCCACGAUGAUAAGAGAAGAUCGAAGAAGAAAAGCAAGAAAUCAAAAUCAGCAAAGCGGAAGAAGAAAAAGAGCCCUGCUCGGAGCAAUGACUCAGAGGAGAACAGCGAACCAGAAGAGGGUGAGAUCACAGAGUCUGAGAGAGACGAGUGGGAAUCUACUCCUUCGUUCUCAUCGUCUUCUGGCUCCCCUUCCAGGGAAGACCCAGAAUUGGAAUCAGAGAUGGAGACUCAGAGUCAGGAAGUCAAAGACAUUUGGCCGCCCUGUGUACGGGUGACAGUGGUUAGGUCUCCAGUGCUACAGGUGGGCACUCUGUUCAUCAUCACAGCCGACUCUCCAGCCACCAUUGGCAGAGAGAAAGAUAUGGAUCAUGCAAUCAGAAUACCAGAGAUGGGAGUCAGCAAGUUCCAUGCAGAGGUGUACUUUGACCAGGAGCAGCAGAGCUACAUGCUGGUGGACCAGGGAAGCCAGAACGGGACAGUCAUCAAUGGCAACAGAAUCUUACAGCCAAAAGCCAAGUGUGAGCCACAUGCACUGAUGCACGGUGAUGAGGUGAAGAUGGGAGAGACGGUGCUCUCCUUCCAUAUCCACUCAGGCACCGAUACCUGCGAUGGAUGUGAGCCUGGUCAGGUGAUGGCUCACCUCAGCAAACACAGGAGAGAGGAGAACACUGGCCCUGCUCUCACCAAAGAGGAUAAAGAAGCACUAAGACAGAAGGAGUUGAAGCAGAUGAAGGCCAAGUACGGCCUGCAGAGCAGCGAGUAUGAGGAGACAAAAACCCUGAAGAACCCCAAAUACAAGGACCGAGCAGAGUCUCGACGACAGACGGUGGGCAGCGAGGGCGUUUUCCAACGAGAUGAUGCGCCUGCUUCUGUUCAUGAGGAGAUCAGUGAAGUCAAUAAAGGACGGAAGAUGUUGGAAAAGAUGGGCUGGAAGAAAGGAGAGGGACUGGGCAAAGAGGGAACUGGAAUGAAAGACCCGAUUGAGCUGAAAAUCAGAAAGUCCCAGUCAGGUUUGGGGGCCGGUGCCGCCAUGUCUCUAGACAGCAUCUCUCUGACCCGAUCAAAGUCACAGAAGAACUGGGAGAAAGCCAGGGAGAGAUUUGCUGAUUCGUGCCAGCCUGACAUGCUGGCACACAAAACAACACAGAACAAAUCACCCAAAGCCUGGGUCAGAGCAGAGGAGACUGAGACCGCAAACACACAAACAGACAGUCAACGUUAAGGAUAAGUACAGGUGUCACCACCUCGUCCAUGAUCGCCAAGACGUCAUUCCUUGAUCGCAGAGACAUGGUCCAUGAUCGGAGAGACAUUGUUGAGGACGAGGGAGACAUCGUCUAUGAUCAGAGACGUUGUCCACGAUCGCAGAGACCUUGUCAAAGAUGAGAGAGGCGUUGUCCUUAAUCAGAGACAUUGUCCCAUGCUUCGUAGAGACCUUGCGAUAGAAUCGGCGGAGACGGGGGUCACCGAUUUGACGGCAUUGCCCGCGAUCAUGGAGACAUUGUUGAUGAUCACAGAGACACCGUCUAUGAUCUCAGAGACAUCGUCCACGACCGUAAACACAUUGUCCAUGAUCACAGAGACUUUGUCCAUAAUCUCAGAGACAUUGUCCACAAUCACAGAGACGUAGUCACAAUCACAAAGACGUCAUCCACGAUCACAGAGAGUCUUCGUACAAUGAAGAAGUUCUUUGAGACCACGACUGAGGCCUCCAGGUGUCACCACUUUGUCCACGACAUCGUCCACGAUCGCAGAGACUUCGUCGAUGAUCGGAGAGACAUUGUUGAGGAUGAGGGAGACAUCGUCCAUGAUCAGAGACAUCGCCCAUGAUCACAGAGACUUUGUCAAAGAUGAGAGAGACGUUGUCCAUGAUCAGAGACAUUGUCCCAUGCUUCGUAGAGACCUUGCGAUAGAAUCGGCGGAGACGGGGGUCACCGAUUUGACGGCAUUGCCCGCGAUCAGGGAAAUUGUUGAUGAUCACAGAGACAUCGUCUAGGAUCUCAGAGACAUCGUCCAUGAUCACAAAGACAUUGUCCAUGAUCACAGAGACUUUGUCCAUAAUCUCAGAGACAUUGUCCGCGAUCGCAGAGACGUAGUCCACAAUCACAGAGUGUCUUCGUACAAUGAAGAAGUUCUUUGAGACCAGGACAAAGGCCUCCAGGUGUCACCACUUCAUCCACCACGUAGUCCACUAUCGCAGACCGUCUUAAAGAAGUUCUUUGAGACCAAGACAAAAGUCUCCAGGAGGAGAAGAUGACAGCAGCCAAAGACCUGCAGUAGAUGAAAGAAAACAAAAGUUUUACAAAGCUGUUAAUUAGAUAAAAGACGUCCACCAUGUCACUACUGUAAAAGUGUUGGUUUUCUGUUGUACAAACGCUUUGUUUUGCUCUACCAUCUGUAAUGUAAUUAUGGGCAAACUUAUUAAACAUCUGUGGGAACAUUCAACUGUGAUAAAACUGUUUAAUAAUUGUAUCACAAGCAGUUACAUGAUCACAAAGAUGCUUAGUAGACAUGUUUAUCUUUGGAAAAUGUGCUCAUAACCACAUUAACCCUAACAAGUGUUGUGGUUUAAUGUUUGAAAUAAAAUCAGGAAACAUUUCUUUCUAAGCUUUUGAGUUACAUUUCUCUGUU